This 305-nucleotide ribosomal RNA is filed under the name uncultured bacterium. Its description in RNAcentral is "bacterial SSU rRNA". It matches the Rfam family "Bacterial small subunit ribosomal RNA", at positions 333 to 653 of the family's 1533-position model. The record is from RNAcentral.
GCGAUCCUACGGGGCGCAGCAGUGGGGGAUAUUGGACAAUGGGGGGAACCCUGAUGCAGCGACGCCGCGUGAGUGAAGAAGUAAUUCGUUAUGUAAAGCUCUAUCAGCAGGGAAGAAUAAAUGACGGUACCUGAGUAAGAAGCCCCGGCUAACUACGUGCCAGCAGCCGCGGUAAUACGUAGGGGGCAAGCGUUAUCCGGAUUUACUGGGUGUAAAGGGAGCGUAGACGGCAGUGCAAGUCUGGAGUGAAAGGCGGGGGCUCAACCCCCGGACUGCUCUGGAAACUGUACGGCUGGAGUGCAGGG